Molecule: non-coding RNA, 2431 nt
Organism: Ictidomys tridecemlineatus (thirteen-lined ground squirrel)
Lineage: Eukaryota; Metazoa; Chordata; Mammalia; Rodentia; Sciuridae
Source: RefSeq, a predicted model, not a curated record
CUACCGUCCCCUUUGCCAGGGAGCAAGGCCAGACUGGGGCUGGGGAAGCUAUGCGGGUGCAGAAGGGAAAUGUGGCUUGAGGGGGUAGAGGAGGGACAAGUACAGAGUUGUGGGAUCUGUUCCUUGCCCUCUAGGAGGAGAUGGUAUGGUUUUCAUGCAUUCCAGCUUGCGCACAGUGGUUUCUUUCAUUUUCUUGAGAUCUUUGGAAAUGGUCCUAAAGGGGAAAAAAAUGAACUCAGGAAGCAAGACUGAAAAUGUGUGCAAUUGUAUGAUUUAAAAGAUUAAAAAAAAAACCACCACAGUACUUUUGAUUAUCACAAGACCAAAAAAUAUAGUGCUUUCCUGAGAAUGUUUUGGUAAUACGACUUUAAAACAAGCAACGUUAAGUAGAAGGAUUUGAAAUACAGAACAUGGAACCCAAUUGGCUUUGAUGGGUUAUGACCAAGUUGGAUUGGCUGAAGAGCAUCACCCUGCUUGAAUGUGAAUCCUCUGACUGCAGAUUGCCACUUUGGAUCUCUCUUCUCACUUUCUGAAGAGGCUUCCUGAAAGCAGAGAAAAAAAUAGCUGAAGAUGUACAAACAGCAGCCCCAGUGAGGAGGAGAAGGAAAGAGAGAAGAUGACCAACUCCAUUGCUCUGGGCCAGAUAUGAGGAAGAACAUCGUGAUAGAAGGGCAUGACAGAGGAAAGCACCUCAGGACAUGGCACCAGGAAGCAGAGAGAGAGAGAGAGAGAGAGAGAGAGAGAGAGAGACUGACUCUCCUCCCCAUGAACAAAAGACAUACCCCAAAGACACACCCCAAAUGACUCACCCCCCACAGCCACACCAUGUAUGCCUACAGUUACAACCCAGUUAAUCUGUAUCAGUGGAUUAAUACAUUGAUUAGGUUAAGGCUCUUAUAACCCAGUUAUUUCAUCUCUAAACCCCCUUGCAGGGUCUCACACAUGAACUUUGGGUGGACACUUCAUAUCUAAACCAUAAAAGGGAGGCAACAUGUUUUCCUAGUCCUUCAUUUAUUAUAAAUUUUAAUUCAUAGUCAGGAAAAAGUGGAAGAAUAAUAUUUUGAAAUAAAGUUGAAAUGAUUUAAUACUUUUUAUUUUUAAAUGUAUUGUGCUUACUUCUCUCAUAUUGCUACUAAUUAAAGUGUAAGAAUCUCAGAAACAGAGAAGCAUUCCUAUAGUACUUUCUUGAACAACAGUGUCAUUGAAACACUGGUAAGAUAAUUUUGAUGAAAAUUUCUGAUUGUGUGCUACAUAUAGUUCUGAAAAUGUUUAUAAUUUUAAUAAAUAAUAGUUAGUAUCAAGUUACUUCAUGGAUUAAUUGAUAUAAUAGACCCACUGGUUACUUAUAUUUUAACUGAUACAUGAUCUAAGCAAAUCAUAAAGGAAGUCUAUAGCAAUAAGAACAGAGUUUCACAAAAACACAUAUUCAACAACAGGUUGAAAAGUGUUCAGAGUAACUUCAUACUCAAUUUUGUUUCUGUUUUUCCUUUCUUUCUUUUUUUUUGGUUUGUUUGUUUAAACUAUAUAUUUUAUCAAUUAUUCAAGAAAUUAUAAAUAUAAAUUUUAAAAUGUGAAAGGGUGACAUGCAGAUCACUUUUUUCCUGAUAAAACCACUCAAAGGUAACCAUGGUUAACAUUAUGCUUUAAUUCUGUGUAAAUGGUGUGUAGAGGCAACAUGAAAAAUAUCAACAAUCAGUUCCGAAUGGUAUUGACCAAUGGAAAGCAUUGCCAAUUGUAAAUUUCAACUGGAUGAAGCAUGUUUUGUUGAAUAUCAUCUCUGUUGUGUUUAUACAUACACAUACACACACAUAUCCAUAAACAAUUGAUAAGUUUUUGCAUCAGCUAUAAUGCAUAUACACAUAGUACAUGAUCUUUUAAAAUUGUACAUUUUGUAUAGAAUAAUUAUAAUUUGGAUAGUGAGACUAUUCUAACAAUUGUUUAUUUCUAAUUAAUCUGCAAAGACAGAAUAAUUGCUAGGCAAAUUAGAAAUGCAAAUUAAAUUGGUGGGGGAGGAGGAAUUUUUUAAAACUACUUAAUAAACACCUUCAGAACACCUGUUUAAUAACUAUGCAAAGUUUGCAUCAUUCUUAGCUAGACCAUAGUGAAGGUAAGAGAAUUUUUCUGGGAAAUAUUUUCUUAUUUCUGAAAGGGUUACAGUAUAGAACUUUACACUAUUUGGUUUUUAAACUAUUUAUUUGCAUUUUUCGAGCACCACCCCCAAGCAGUUAGCCCUAAGAAAUAUGAAUUCUAUUAAAAUUUCAUUUGACUACCUACAUUUUUUGUUUGCAAGCAAAUUGAGCAUAUAUAGAAUGAAUUUAAUAAACUUUUUCUUUAAGAAGAAAAAUUGUGUACUGGAAACAUUACAUUUGGAUCAGUAUCAAGGAUCAGUGGAUGUUUUAGAGUUUCUAUAACGAAUCAAGUUCACCCAGAA